RNAcentral lists this ribosomal RNA (811 nucleotides) under uncultured bacterium. RNAcentral describes it as "bacterial SSU rRNA". It matches the Rfam family "Bacterial small subunit ribosomal RNA", at positions 58 to 916 of the family's 1533-position model. The record is from RNAcentral.
CAAGUCGAACGGACCCUUCGGGGUUAGUGGCGGACGGGUGAGUAACACGUGGGAACGUGCCUUUAGGUUCGGAAUAGCUCCUGGAAACGGGUGGUAAUGCCGAAUGUGCCCUUCGGGGGAAAGAUUUAUCGCCUUUAGAGCGGCCCGCGUCUGAUUAGCUUGUUGGUGAGGUAAUGGCUCACCAAGGCUACGAUCAGUAGCUGGUCUGAGAGGAUGACCAGCCACAUUGGGACUGAGACACGGCCCAAACUCCUACGGGAGGCAGCAGUGGGGAAUCUUGCGCAAUGGGCGAAAGCCUGACGCAGCCAUGCCGCGUGUAUGAUGAAGGUCUUAGGAUUGUAAAAUACUUUCACCGGUGAAGAUAAUGACUGUAGCCGGAGAAGAAGCCCCGGCUAACUUCGUGCCAGCAGCCGCGGUAAUACGAAGGGGGCUAGCGUUGCUCGGAAUUACUGGGCGUAAAGGGAGCGUAGGCGGACAUUUAAGUCAGAGGUGAAAUCCCGGAGCUUAACUUCGGAACUGCCUUUGAUACUGGGUGUCUUGAGUGUGAGAGAGGUAUGUGGAACUCCGAGUGUAGAGGUGAAAUUCGUAGAUAUUCGGAAGAACACCAGUGGCGAAGGCGACAUACUGGCUCAUUACUGACGCUGAGGCUCGAAAGCGUGGGGAGCAAACAGGAUUAGAUACCCUGGUAGUCCACGCCGUACACGAUGAUUGCUAGUUGUCGGGAAGCUUGCUUCUCGGUGACGCAGCUAACGCAUUAAGCAAUCCGCCUGGGGAGUACGGUCGCAAGAUUAAAACUCAAAGGAAUUGACGG